Molecule: ribosomal RNA, 328 nt
Filed under: uncultured eukaryote
Lineage: Eukaryota
Description: partial 18S ribosomal RNA
Rfam family: Eukaryotic small subunit ribosomal RNA
Source: RNAcentral
CCCUUAGAUGUCCUGGGCCGCACGCGCGUUACACUGAUGCAUUCAACGAGCUUAUAACCUUGGCCGAGAGGCCUGGGCAAUCUUGUUAACGUGCAUCGUGAUAGGGAUAGAUUAUUGAAAUUAUUAAUCUUGAACGAGGAAUUCCUAGUAAACGCAGAUCAUCAAUCUGCAUUGAUUACGUCCCUGCCCUUUGUACACACCGCCCGUCGCACCUACCGAUGGGAUGGUCCGGUGAAGCCUCGGGAUUGUGGUUCUUGCCGCUUUAUUGUGGCGUGACCGCGAGAACUUGUCUAAACCUUAUCAUCUAGAGGAAGGUGAAGUCGUAACA